RNAcentral lists this ribosomal RNA (253 nucleotides) under uncultured bacterium. Its description in RNAcentral is "partial 16S ribosomal RNA". It matches the Rfam family "Bacterial small subunit ribosomal RNA", at positions 524 to 776 of the family's 1533-position model. The record is from RNAcentral.
UACGUAGGUGGCAAGCGUUAUCCGGAUUUAUUGGGCGUAAAGGGAACGCAGGCGGUCUUUUGAGUCUGAUGUGAAAGCCUUCGGCUUAACCGGAGUAGUGCAUUGGAAACUGGGAGACUUGAGUGCAGAAGAGGAGAGUGGAACUACAUGUGUAGCGGUGAAAUGCGUAGAUAUAUGGAAGAACACCAGUGGCGAAAGCGGCUCUCUGGUCUGUAACUGACGCUGAGGUUCGAAAGCGUGGGUAGCAAACAGG